GACGAACGCUGGCGGCGUGCUUAACACAUGCAAGUCGAACGGAAAGGCCCUGCUUGCAGGGUACUCGAGUGGCGAACGGGUGAGUAACACGUGGGUGAUCUGCCCUGCACUUCGGGAUAAGCCUGGGAAACUGGGUCUAAUACCGGAUAGGAGCCAUUUUUAGUGUGAUGGUUGGAAAGUUUUUUCGGUGUAGGAUGAGCUCGCGGCCUAUCAGCUUGUUGGUGGGGUAAUGGCCUACCAAGGCAGCGACGGGUAGCCGGCCUGAGAGGGUGGACGGCCACAAUGGGACUGAGAGACGGACCAGACUCCUACGGGGGGCAGAAGUGGGGAAUAUUGCACAAUGGGCGCAAGCCUGAUGCAGCGACGCCGCGUGGGUGAUGACGGCCUUCGGGUUGUAAACUCCUUUCGCUAGGGACGAAGCUUUUGUGACGGUACCUAGAGAAGAAGCACCGGCUAACUACGUG
This 464-nucleotide ribosomal RNA is filed under the name uncultured bacterium. RNAcentral's name for it is "partial 16S ribosomal RNA". It matches the Rfam family "Bacterial small subunit ribosomal RNA", at positions 28 to 507 of the family's 1533-position model. The record is from RNAcentral.